AAACUUCCUCGUAGCCGGCUGCCGAAAAAUAAAUAAUAAUAAUAAUAAUAAUCUAGAAUUUCGAUCGACGAGAACGGUCUCCGACCCGGAGGAAUUGCGAAGGCCUAUCCGCCAUUCCCCGAAAAGCAGUUCAUUCAAAUGAGAUAAUUAAUCUUGCUGCUCGUAAUUACUAAACGAAAAAAAGAGGACAUAACAACGGUUGUCAGUUUUCUUUCGGGAAAUGUCCGCCCAUCCAUUCUUUCUACUUCCGUGGAAGUAAUUAGUAGAAACCGCAGACGGAAGGUUUUGUAAUUAAGGAGAGAGCCUGUUUCCGUAUCCGCGGAAACCAGGCGUCUUCCGUGCUGUAUUCCGCGGUCGGAGAGAAAAAUUUUAGCGGCGGUGCUGGCAGGUACGCGUUCGACCUUAACCGAAUAAUAAAAAGCCGCCCGGAGUAAAAGCUGCCAAAUUUUCCUAUUUUUAGUGCGGUAAUUCGAGUUCUACUCUCAAACGAGUAAUUUGCCACGCGCCGCUACUUAUCGGAGGGGGCUAAUGGUGCUUACCUACGUGGUGUUGCUGCUGAUGUUCCCGGGACUCGAUGGCGCUUUCCAAAUGACAGAUCAGUCUGUGCAGGUCGCUCCUGUUGCUCUUCAGCGCGACGUAAGUGACGAACGGAAACUGACCUGACAAUACACCAAACACAAAAAAAAAAAAAUGUUUAGAAAAUUAUCGAACGGAAUUAGUUCAUUUCCGAGUUACAAAUGAGCGAGAAUGCGCUACACGAGCGACUACUAAGAAUUUCGAGUGUGGUUAAUGACGUGAGCCCGACCUGAAAGAACCGCCACACAAACAAAAAAAAACCCCAAAAUGUACUUUUAGUACUUGCAGCGUCAUCAAGUAAAAGCGAAAUUUUUGCUCGUUAGUGAGUAAAAAAAAAAAAAAAAAAUUUAAAGGGCGAAUUUUUAAAUUAUGUAACAGCGUCGGAAGAAUGUCAGUUUCGGGGCCCUUUCGCGAACUAUUCGGGACAUAAUUUAAUCGAAAUUUCUAACGAAGGAGAAGUUACCACACGUACGAAAAGGGGCGGACAGCUGUGUGUUCCGACACACUGUAUCUUUAAUCGUUGAGGGAAAUUAACGAGUGGGUGUUUAGUGGGGAUUGGACUAGCGCCAGAUUAACACGGGGGGUGGUUUAGCGGCGGAAACGAAUUCCGACUGAAUAAUUAAGGUGGGAGUCAAAGGGGGCGGUGAUCGGCGCUAACACAAAUUGGAGAUUUACGGAAAAGCUGGAAAACGCUCCCGUUUCUAUCCACAGACCAUUUUACGUACAGGCAAAACGUCCAUAAUGUUGUUGGCCUACCAAAUAAUAAAAAAUUAUGUAAAAAAAAUGGACGACGUCAUCUUCCACAACUGGUCCAUAACCUUUCUAUUAGUGGAGGACUCAUUUCCUGAAACCAAGUCUGCUGGGGAUACUGGCUAACAAUAGAUUAAAUGAAUUUAAUUUUCUCGAUAAUUAUUCACCUGAAAUUGCGAUUUUAAUUUCAUUAUUUAAGCAGAUAAUUAUUUGUUAAAAAUCGAAAAAUAUCUAGCAAUAAAUUUAAUUAAAAUGCGUAUAGAAAACGAUUGAGAGAAACUAUCAAAUUUUGGUAAUGUACCACCUAUCGUUUCUACAUCUAAAAAAUUUUUUUUGACGGGCUAUCGUAUCUUCUCCCAUUAUGUGUCGUUUUUUGGAGUGGGGAAGAGAACGACUGUCGUAACUUUUCUACCAUUAAUUAGAAACCGAUUUUGUUACCAUUAAUUCAAAUUUAACAUUUGAAUUAUGAACUGAGAAUGGCCACAAACGAUAAUGGUUUCGUGGAGUAGGAAUAUUGUAUUGCUUUCAUACUUGAGAAAAGUGACGUCGGAAGUCAUCGCCGCCACAAAAAUGAACCUUAUCAUCUUUAUAGUUGAGUGCAGAGAGAGAAUUCCGCCUUAUCCGUAAAGGUCUCGACAGGGAAAUUCUCAAUCCCUACUCCAGUUUCGGGCUCGUUAAACGGAUAGUUGAGGCGGAUGGAUGUGGUGCACGCAUAAAGAUCGGCAGACUAUGGCACCGAAGGAUUUACUAAGAAUCGCCCUUCGUGGUGAAUAAUCAUCCUAAAAGAAAUUUAAGAUCGUUGCGUCGGGUCAAUAAUUUCGGGAAAUUACAUGCGGGCGGUAGAUGUCGUCGCUAGGGAGGAGGAAACCAGAAACCGUCAGUUAUGUAUUUUACUGAUCGAACAACAGUCAGAUUUUAAAGCGAUUAACUAGGAAAAUCCACACCCAUAUUUGAAUGAAAGUAAGCAACGACAAGGGCGUAGCCUUCGCCCAAACAUCGAUCGGGGAAGAUCCGCCAUUAAGCCAGGCGAAGUCCCGGUCAACCGGCGGGAAGGAACCGCCUUCCGUGGGGCGCGGUCGACGUGUCGGUUAUAGAAAAUAUCCGCACCACCCCGCGUCCGAGUCGACGACUGAACGUUAUUAUCCGGAAACAAUAAAAGAUGACUCACUGGUUCUCUCCACGUCCAUCAAGAGUAGGCCCUGGCUGUCCGGACUGCACUCCCGAAACAAUUGAAAGGCCUGGCGAGUCAGCUGCGAGGUGGCCGU
Molecule: long non-coding RNA, 2591 nt
Filed under: Androctonus crassicauda
Lineage: Eukaryota; Metazoa; Arthropoda; Arachnida; Scorpiones; Buthidae
Source: RNAcentral